Molecule: ribosomal RNA, 207 nt
Filed under: Pyrenochaeta sp.
Lineage: Eukaryota; Fungi; Ascomycota; Dothideomycetes; Pleosporales; Cucurbitariaceae
Description: partial small subunit ribosomal RNA
Rfam family: Eukaryotic small subunit ribosomal RNA
Source: RNAcentral
AACGAGACCUUAACCUGCUAAAUAGCCAGUCUAGCUUUGGCUGGUCGCCGGCUUCGUAGAGGGACUAUCGGCUCAAGCCGAUGGAAGUUUGAGGCAAUAACAGGUCUGUGAUGCCCUUAGAUGUUCUGGGCCGCACGCGCGCUACGCUGACAGAGCCAACGAGUUCUUCACCUUGGCCGGAAGGUCUGGGUAAUCUUGUGAAACUCU